CGAGCAGAACCCUCGUCAUUAGCCUCAGAAACCCCAAGGUUCUCCCCGCUCUGGUUCCUAUUCCGUCCCGAUAUCUAUCUCCUGGUCCGAGGAAAUAUGGACGGCAGGGCGGCCGCGAUCUCGAAACCGAUCGUGCUGAUCACCAACGAUGACGGGAUCGAUGCCCCCGGGCUGCGCUUCCUCGUCGACGUCCUCGUCGCCACCGAUUGCUACCGUGUUCUUGUUUGCGCCCCCGCUUCGGACCAGUCAGGUGUUAGCCAUAGCAUCACGUGGCGUCAUGCUCUCAGUGCCAAACGUGUUGAAAUUGAAGGUGCUACAGCCUUUGCAGUUUCAGGAACUCCUGCAGAUUGUGCUUCUUUGGGUAUUUCUGGAAAACUCUUUGAUGGUGUAAUUCCUGAUUUGGUAAUCAGUGGCAUCAACAUUGGUUGCAAUUGCGGAUAUCAUAUAAUUUACUCUGGGACAGUAGCUGGUGCCCGGGAGGCAUUCUUAUAUGGUAUUCCUGCUUUAGCUAUGUCGCUUAAUUGGAUGGGAGGUAAGAGCACUGUCAAUGACCUCAAACUUGCUGCAGAGGUUUGCCUGCCUGUCAUAAAUUCUGUGUUGACCGAGCUCAAAAAUAAGACAUACCCUGAAGGUUCUUUUUUGAAUAUAGAUGUGCCAACAGAUGUUGCACAUCACAAGGGAUUUAAGAUCACAAAACAGGGGAAGUACAUGAUCAGGAUUGGGUGGGAGCAGACAAAUAUAAAUGCACCAAGCAUGGAAAGCUAUCAAACGGCACAUAUUGAUGUUGACAUGACACCAGGCUCUGAAAUGAAUGCAUCAGUUCCAGUAGAAAGUCAUCUUUUGUUUAAGAGAGUGUCGUCAAAGAUAAAGAUUGAAGAGGAUGAAGCAGAGGACACAGACCAUAAAGCCCUUCAAGAAGGAUAUAUUACAAUCACCCCUCUAGGUGCUCUCUCUCAUACGGAAGCUGAUGCCAUGCCCUACUUCCAAGAUUGGCUGUUGCAUUUGGCUGAUUAUUCAACAUCCUCCUUAUAAAAAAUGUUGGGUGGUGGAGCCUAAUCCACACAAACUGGAUGCAAACAAGACCCAAGAAGCCCAUGAAGCAAAGAGCCCAAAAGAGGGGACAAAAAAGAAGCAGCCCACGGACUGCAGGCCGGCACCAAGUGCAGUCGGCUGAGGCAACGCGCGCGGGGCGCGGCCCAUCGCCCUUCAUGCGGUCCAUCGUGGAUCGCCAGUGUACAGGAGGAGACGUGGACCGGGAGGGCGUUUCCCCAUCGUUUCUCUCGGUCCACGGUGGACCGACGAGCGUUUCACAUGCGUUUCCUGAUGUUUUUUGCGAUCGGACAGUUGUCUUUCUUUCCGGUUCAGAUUAGAUUAGAUGGUGGCGGAGCAUUUCCGAUCGGUUUUGGGCUAUAAGAGUUUUUUCUCGCUGUUUUCUCCCAUGCGAUGUUGAUCCGAUGACAAGGGAGGAGUUUUAAUCCAGCUUUCAAACAGAUUCUCUAAUGCGAAUUGGCCGAUUCCAGACUCUAUUUAAUGGACGUCACAGACAGAGAACAAUAUAUGCAAUCUGAGCCCGACCUGUGAGCGACUGAGAGCUGGUAGAGCGGCGAGCGUGCACAGAGGGCGUGGGUGAACAGCAACCGGUUUUUCCGAGAGAGAAAAAAGAGAGGAAGAAAGAAAGAGAGUGAGGGGGCUUCGGGUCCUUCGUAUGAGCAAUCCUAGCGUGCUACCAGGACCCAGCAAAUGAAUCUGUUCAAUAAAGAGAUCGAUUGCCUGAUCAUUCUUGGUUGCCAUCUGAGACUCACUUGAGCAAACCGUGCUUCAGGCUUGUGAAGUCCUUGUAGGUAUCAGCUGUACCUUCAUUGCUGCCAUUGUGAACAGCGAUUUCUGAUACUUUUCAGAUUUAGUUACAUGUAUGAGGAACACGCCUGCUGAAACUUUUUCUCCUAUAUGAUAUUUACCAGUAACCUUCAGCUGUUAAUGCUGCAAAACACCACUAGCUGUUCCCAGACA
RNA transcript from Elaeis guineensis (African oil palm), 2010 nucleotides. RefSeq lists it as uncharacterized. The record is from RefSeq and is a predicted model, not a curated record. NCBI's taxonomy places the organism in Eukaryota, Viridiplantae, Streptophyta, Magnoliopsida, Arecales, Arecaceae.